Molecule: ribosomal RNA, 589 nt
Filed under: Debaryomyces subglobosus
Lineage: Eukaryota; Fungi; Ascomycota; Pichiomycetes; Serinales; Debaryomycetaceae
Description: LSU rRNA
Rfam family: Eukaryotic large subunit ribosomal RNA
Source: RNAcentral
UUCAUAAGCGGAGGAAAAGAAACCAACAGGGUAUUGCCCUUAGUAACGGCGAGUGAAGCGGCAAAAGCUCAAAUUUGAAAUCUGGCACCUUCGGUGUCCGAGUUGUAAUUUGAAGAAGGUAACUUUGGAGUUGGCUCUUGUCUAUGUUCCUUGGAACAGGACGUCACAGAGGGUGAGAAUCCCGUGCGAUGAGAUGCCCAAUUCUAUGUAAAGUGCUUUCGAAGAGUCGAGUUGUUUGGGAAUGCAGCUCUAAGUGGGUGGUAAAUUCCAUCUAAAGCUAAAUAUUGGCGAGAGACCGAUAGCGAACAAGUACAGUGAUGGAAAGAUGAAAAGAACUUUGAAAAGAGAGUGAAAAAGUACGUGAAAUUGUUGAAAGGGAAGGGCUUGAGAUCAGACUUGGUAUUUUGCGAUCCUUUCCUUCUUGGUUGGGUUCCUCGCAGCUUACUGGGCCAGCAUCGGUUUGGAUGGUAGGAUAAUGACUAAGGAAUGUGGCUCUACUUCGGUGGAGUGUUAUAGCCUUGGUUGAUACUGCCUGUCUAGACCGAGGACUGCGUCCUUGACUAGGAAUGUUGGCAUAAUCUUAAGCCUC